UGACGAAUGAUUGUGCACAACGACUAGGA
Molecule: non-coding RNA, 29 nt
Filed under: Bombyx mori (domestic silkworm)
Lineage: Eukaryota; Metazoa; Arthropoda; Insecta; Lepidoptera; Bombycidae
Source: RNAcentral